Molecule: long non-coding RNA, 1203 nt
Organism: Gracilinanus agilis (Agile Gracile Mouse Opossum)
Lineage: Eukaryota; Metazoa; Chordata; Mammalia; Didelphimorphia; Didelphidae
Exons: 3
Source: RefSeq, a predicted model, not a curated record
CACGGCUCCCCUGGAUCGCUGCAGCACCCACCAGGGGGCGGUAGCCCCCACUUUGGGAAUCACUGCUCUACAUUUAGACAGGCAUCACUCAAAGCACCUUGGUCUCUGAUCUUGUCAGUCAUUGAAUUGGAGAGCUGUACAGACAGAUGUUCAGUACUGGUUUUGAGAGGAAAGCUGUGUCUUCCAUAUUGAUCCUGAGGAAAUGGUGUGGGAGAAGGUGCUGCUAUUCAUCUUAGUAAGGUGCAUGGGUCUUACUCUGGAUGAGGACUUCGGCUCCAAAAGAGGAGAAGUAGGGGCUGUAAGCCUAAGAAUGAGGAAUUUCCUAUCUCAGAUUUGACAAAGGUGAUGCAAGGAUAGCCACGUCUAAGAUACAAGCCCUUUUUUUCUUCUACAGAUAUGCCCAGUUUUGUUCCAGAAUUUUUAAAACCAACAACCCCUUCCCCCUCUUUAAAUAAAUAUAAUUGGAUUAAAACUAUGUGAUAUGGUUAUUUUACAAGGUGUGGUGAAGAAUCCAUCAUCAUAAAAACAUGGAAUAUUUUCUCUCUUUCAUGUUUUCCUUACCUAGUCCAUUUAAAGGCCAAACUUUAUGAAAGCAAGAACUGUCCUAGGUCACACUUUUGAUGAACCAUUGAAUACUUUCUGUUAAAGUUCAAAACUCUGUAUCAUUUUCAUGGCUGAACUAUUUAAAGUAUUUGAUUUUUAUACAAUCAUAAUCUCUGAUAGUGAAAGGAAAACUAGAGCAUGAAGGUCAAAUGAGUGAUUUAUCUUUACCAAAACUGUAUAUUGAAUGAUUUUUUUAUAACACAUAUUUUAUACCUGGGCAGGGAGCAGAAUAUAAUUCUCUUUAGUUUCAGAUAACUCACUACACAGAAGACUUGCUCUAUAGGCUGGUAUUUCAGCCUUAUUAAGCAAAAGGAGCAUUCAAUAUUGAAUUACUGGCAUAGUUUCCUGGGGAUAGUAAUUGGCAGUUACAGGGUUUUUGUAUGUUUCAAUAGAAGCAAUUACUUAGAAUAUAUGAAAUUUUAUAGAGGCAUCUCUCAGACAGUCAUUUUUGUUAUCUGUCCCAUAGAUAUGCUGCUUAUUUUGGGGUCAUGUUUCCUGUUAGUGAAGAUUAACCAAAUAAAAAAGUAUAAGGUUUUUUAAAAGGCACUUUUGGGGCAGCUGGGUAGCUCAGUGGAUUGAGAGCCAGGCCUAGAGACAGGA